Molecule: ribosomal RNA, 468 nt
Filed under: uncultured bacterium
Lineage: Bacteria
Description: partial 16S ribosomal RNA
Rfam family: Bacterial small subunit ribosomal RNA
Source: RNAcentral
GAUGAACGCUGGCGGCGUGCUUAACACAUGCAAGUCGAACGGUGAAGUCGGAGCUUUCUCUGCUGGAUCAUUGGCGAACGGGUGAGUAACACGUGAGCAAUCUGCCCCUGACUCUGGGAUAAGCGCUGGAAACGGCGUCUAAUACUGGAUACGAGCUGCGAAGGCAUCUUCAGCAGCUGGAAAGAACUUCGGUCAGGGAUGAGCUCGCGGCCUAUCAGCUUGUUGGUGAGGUAACGGCUCACCAAGGCGUCGACGGGUAGCCGGCCUGAGAGGGUGACCGGGGACACUGGGACUGAGACACGGCCCAGACGGCUACGGGAGGCAGCAGUGGGGAAUAUUGCACAAUGGGCGAAAGCCUGAUGCAGAAACGCCGCGUGAGGGACGACGGCCUUCGGGUUGUAAACCUCUUUUAGCAGGGAAGAAGCGAAAGUGACGGUACCUGAAGAAAAAGCGCCGGCUAACUACGUG